RNAcentral lists this ribosomal RNA (388 nucleotides) under uncultured bacterium. RNAcentral's name for it is "bacterial SSU rRNA". It matches the Rfam family "Bacterial small subunit ribosomal RNA", at positions 28 to 417 of the family's 1533-position model. The record is from RNAcentral.
GACGAACGCUGGCGGCGUGCUUAACACAUGCAAGUCGAGCGGUAAGGCCCUUUUUGGGGGUACACGAGCGGCGAACGGGUGAGUAACACGUGGGUGACCUGCCCUCAGCUCUGGGAUAAGCCUGGGAAACUGGGUCUAAUACUGGAUAUGACCUUUCCUCGCAUGGGGGUUGGGUGGAAAGUUUUUCGGCUGGGGAUGGGCCCGCGGCCUAUCAGCUUGUUGGUGGGGUGAUGGCCUACCAAGGCGACGACGGGUAGCCGGCCUGAGAGGGCGACCGGCCACACUGGGACUGAGACACGGCCCAGACUCCUACGGGAGGCAGCAGUGGGGAAUAUUGCGCAAUGGGCGGAAGCCUGACGCAGCGACGCCGCGUGGGGGAUGACGGCCU